Molecule: long non-coding RNA, 2190 nt
Organism: Glossina fuscipes
Lineage: Eukaryota; Metazoa; Arthropoda; Insecta; Diptera; Glossinidae
Exons: 2
Source: RefSeq, a predicted model, not a curated record
AAUAUAAUUAAAAAAUGUUAUGGUUUUUAAAUAGGAAAAUCAUGAAACAAUUUUAGUUUUAUUUUGUAUAAUUAUCAAUUCGAGGGUUGCUAAGAGGAAUUUUUAUGACCGCCAAAUAACUAAAUUUUAGAUUGGCAAGCUAAGUUUUUCACAGCGCCUAUAUCGUCUAGAUUUUUUUUGCUUUUUUUUUUUGGUGUUUCGCGAUAUCUUCUAAUUUAUCGAUUUUUAAUAUUUCGGUCUAAAACUCAUUUCCAUUGAAAUUUCUUUGACUUUUUCAUGUAUAGGUGUAAAAUUAAGUUGCAACUAGUUCGAAAAAUGUCAUUGUUCUCUAAUGCGUGAUCUGGCUUGUACAUUUUCAUGUUAUCGUUUGAAAGAAAUUUUUGUGGAGGUUUUCGUAAUCAAUUUUCAAAAGUGUUUCAAGAUAUAAUGACAAUGAUCCUAUUGCCGAAAUUGUUCAAAUCUAGAAAAAAAGGUAGACACAAAAUAACGAAUUGAAAAGAAACCAUAUGAAAUUGUUCACAAAUCAAAGCUAGACACAAAGGCAGACACAAAAUAGCGAAUUGAAAACAUAUGAAAUCGUUCACGUAACCGCCUGAAAGAUGUAGUACUCGCUCAACGAAAACAAUCUUGCACUUCAUCUUUCGUUAGUUCUUCAUUGAAGUUUUAUAUGAAAGGGUUUUCGAUUUAACCCAUUCAAGAACGAAAAAAAAAACAUCACACGAUUAAUUUUCUACAAACGAUUUUCGAUCGUUUGGCAUUUAGGUAUAAAUUAAAUAAUAAUGAAAAAAACACUCCUUGCAAAUUGUUGGCCAAGAAUAUCUUUAACAUCGAUAACGAGUACAACAACAAUAAGUGUUGCAGUUUAACGUUUUUAUUUAAAUGAAACACUUCACUCACAUUCUGUCACUUUAGCCAACAAAAAUAUGUAAAAAAAAGGAAAGCAAGAACUAAUCUGUUGAAAAUAUUCUGAAAAAAGACAUAAAUGAAUAAAAAAUUCAAAACAAAAAACGAAAUGCAUCUAAAUGCCGAGCGCGUCACUGUCAGAGACAGUUACAAGAAUGUGCAUACGUUUUCAACAAAGAAAGACGUACAAAAAAGAAUUAAAGUGACUAAAAAUCAGCGCAAAUAAGUGUACUCCGAGAUAUAAACACAUAUUUGCAUGGAUGCAUUCAAUUUUUUAUGUUUGACGCAAAUCCCUCUUUACUGUGUAUUACUAAUGUUUAUCGUUCAACUAGAGGAGGACAUGGUUCUUUCAAACAGUGAGGUUAAUAAUUCUAAAUCUAGCUUCAUACAAUAUUAAAUGAGUCGAGUCGAGUUAGGGCUAAAUUUUCACAGAUUAAAAAUGUGUAUGAGCGUUUUCAAAAGAAUGUUGUUGCACGUUCAACGUUUCUUUCCUUUGUUGCUUCUGAUUUUGAUCCAUGGUAUGAGGUCGUUGAUUUCUUUGGUCUAUAGUGGAUGUAUACACCAACCAAGAUAUAAAAAGGGAAGGUGACAUUUAUAGGGUUGGCAAUGCUUUCGUCAAUGCCUUUCUCUUUGUCUCUUCACAUUAUAUUAAUCAGUUGGAGAAAUUAUAAUUCUCUAAUCCCCCGUCGGUUCGUUUUUUCCCGCUGUCAAAGUAGCUGCGAAUUCUUUCUGUUGAAGCCCCUUCGCAUUUCUGAGAUCUGAAGGUCUUACUUUAGGAGUUUCUUAUUGAUGCCAUGUAGAGGAUCCCGUUCUGUAACGACUAUUUUACAGAAACCCCUUUCUGUACGAUGAAGGAGAAAAGGUUCCCUUCUUGUCUCUAAAAACCCUGUACAAGCUGCUAUCCCCAUUCAGUUAGAUUUUAUGAUAUUAAGGAGUAGGCGGAAGAGACAGUGGUGGAAUCUAGGAUAUGUCGAUGUACAUUCUACUUAGGCGAAAAUUCUUGCGACAACAUAAAUUUUGGAUGGCUUUUCGAAAUGUGUGAAAAAUCCGCGAGCGUACAGUUUUGCCGAGAGUUAGCCUAUUUUAAAAUUCUCAGCGUCCACGACAACCAAGUUACCCAAAGAGAGAACAUCGUUUGUUUGACUACUGGGUGCAGUUACUACUUGGAAUUUCGUGUCGGGUGCGAAUAAGCCAAAGUUGCAGGAGCAUUCUGUAAUAAGCAAUAGGACUCUCAAUUAGGGAGAGCGAUGACCUACUCACCGGAGGGAACCGCUUAUCACUUAGUAU